Acanthosepion pharaonis is the source of this 99-nucleotide non-coding RNA. The record is from the annotation of a GenBank genome assembly. Lineage: Eukaryota; Metazoa; Mollusca; Cephalopoda; Sepiida; Sepiidae.
AUUGAAACACCAGAUCUCAAAUAAUCAUUGAAGUUAAGCAACUUCAAGCCUGGUCAGUACCAAGAUGGAUGACUGCUUGGGAAUUCCAGGUGCUGUAAG